Molecule: non-coding RNA, 74 nt
Organism: Lampris incognitus (smalleye Pacific opah)
Lineage: Eukaryota; Metazoa; Chordata; Actinopteri; Lampriformes; Lampridae
Source: the annotation of a RefSeq genome assembly
GGCUGGUUAGCUCAGUUGGUUAGAGCGUGGUGCUAGUAAUGCCAAGGUCACGCGUUCGAUCCCCGUACUAGCCA